CGGAUUUAUCUAUGAUAUGAGAUCCUGUACGGUUGUUUGUGACUUAAAAGCGUUUUGAUAUAUUUUAGUUAUUUAUUUAAUGCGCUAUCCUUUUGUGUUCUAUUUCAUGUCAUUAUUUAACAGUAUGGUUAUUUGUUCAUCGAAACCACUUUUAGUUCCAGUGAGUGAGUUAGAAAAUAUUUGAAGGUCCAUGACAUAUUUGAAUUAUAAAUUUGUUUACUUCAGCAUUACUUACUUAUUUACUUUUUAACAUUUUGUUUUCGUGAUGACAUUUUCUUAAUUGUGAGACUAAAUUAUUUAUUAUUUAUAUGAACAUUGUUGUAGCUGUCCAGUUUUACUUAAGAAUGUUUCAGUACUUGGAAAGAAGGGUGAAUGUGUCUUUCUUUCACUGGGAACAGAUACCAUGUUAACUGUUACAAUAGUUUAACGUCUUCAGUGGCACCAUCAUAAAGGCAUUACUCAGCUAUUCUCUCACUCCAGAAGUAUCUGAUCAAAGAAGCAAUAAUGUACACUUAAAACAGGCAAUGUGGUAUCUUUUGCCAGAGAAAGGAUUUACAAGGAUGAAUUGGCUGUGCCUUGAGUGCACUAGGGGUUAACACAAACAGGAGGGUUGCCAUUUAAACACAUUAAAUGAACGAGAAGACAAAAAAAGGAUUUGAAACCUGGAAAAUUGUAGGAAAUGUAUGCAGUCCAAUUUACACUAUGUAAGGUUGCAACGCAAUGCUCUGUCAGUCUGUUACAUUGCUUAUUUCACCAUCAGUGGUAUUAUUUUUCUUUUUAUAAACAUCUAUUGUUGGAGGCACUUCCCUGAUAUUUACAGUUAGGAAUAAAAUUCGAGCACCAUACAGUCAUUCUCUAGAUCUUUCAACAAAUGCGAGAGAGUUAAAGUUCAGUUGGAUGGUCAUAUUGAAAACACCAAUAUCUACAAUGGUGUUGUCUUUCCUGGACUAUAUUCUUGAUUUGCUGUUUUCGUCUUCAUCUUCACCUUGCAGCAUUUUAAUUUCCACUGAAGCAACAAGUUUUCUGCUAUGGUAUUCCUCCUAAAUUUGGUUUGCUUUUCACACCUGCAAACUUUGGAAUGUCACUGUUCAUGUUGGAAUGUUACUGGAAUGUCUGCUGUUCAUUAAGAUCGACGGUGGAGAAGAAAGAAGAACACCCCGUAGCUAAAAUACUUGUCUAUUUUGCAUGUUUUUUAUAGUUUGGUGUAUUUGAAUCAAUUUUUUAUUGUAGAUGUUUUUAUUUUUGUAGUAUUCUUUUAAUUUUUUUAGUAGCAGCGGUAGAACUAACCGUUUUUUUUUUAGAUGAAACUAUCAUUAAAUUGUUUCGACAGGUUAUGAUUUUAACACAUGAAACGAACAAGGUGAAAAAAUAAGGAUUGGAAACUUGGACUCUCCACAACCUCUUAUACUUGAAAGGUGCAAUUUCAGUGAUGUUGUGUGUUUUGCGUGUUGGCUCAUUUCACCAUCAGUGUAUUUCUUCGUUGUCAACGUUUAGGAAUAGAAGUGGAGCACCCUACUGUCUACAAUAAUCCCGGAGGUUAGCAAUUGUUUAUUAUUUUGACGGUAAUUUUCACAGCGAUGGCGAUCCUUGGGAUCUAUGGUUUCUCUUCUGUCAUCUAUUGGCCUUAGCAUAAAUUGAUGAUAGCGUGCAUCUAAGGUAGUCUAGCAACUAUCUAUUAUUCACAACAUUGGAUUAUCCAACAAAUGAAAGAGACUAAUGUUCAACUUGGUCAUACUGAAACAGUCAAGGUCUACAGUGGUGUUGUCUUUUGUGAACUAUAUAUUCGUGAUUUGCUGUUUUCGUCUUCAGCUUGCAACAUCAUGAAGUUAAUUUUCAACUGAUAAAUGAGAGCAACAGGAGAUUUACUGAAACAACAUUUUGUGCUGUGGUAUUCCUUCUGGAUUUAGUCUGCAUUUCACAUCUGCAAACUUUGAAAAGUUACAGUCUACAAUUAAUUAAGGUGGGAAUACUUGAUAUAAUUAAUUUUAAUUGCUCUUUAUUAAUCUGUUUGCCACCGUA
RNAcentral lists this long non-coding RNA (2019 nucleotides) under Agrilus planipennis (emerald ash borer). Its description in RNAcentral is "uncharacterized LOC108734620, transcript variant X7". The record is from RNAcentral. Lineage: Eukaryota; Metazoa; Arthropoda; Insecta; Coleoptera; Buprestidae.